RNAcentral lists this long non-coding RNA (866 nucleotides) under Homo sapiens (human). RNAcentral's name for it is "MIR663A host gene". Lineage: Eukaryota; Metazoa; Chordata; Mammalia; Primates; Hominidae. The record is from RNAcentral.
GGUGACGCGUGCGCCGGCCGGCCGCCGAGGGGCUACCGUUCUGCCUCCGACCGGUCGUGUAAAUACUAGGCUUUAGAAUUUCACCAUAUGAAUUUUGGGAGAGAGGAGCACAGUUCAGCCCAUAACUAACACACGACGGAAUGAAGUUGAUAAUAGUGAGACCUUGUUGGUACAAGACUAUGUAACAUAACCUGCGCUUCUCAACAAAGAAUUGCUUUUCUGACUUCUGCACUCAACUACUCAACAUGAAGGCAAUAAGAAUGAAGACCUCUAUGUAUAAUAAUUGACUUCCACUUAAUAAAUACCUGAACAGAUGUUGAGUACAAGCUGAUCCACCUACGUUCAACCUGAGAGAGUCCACAUCCACAGACUGUUUCAUUUCCCUUUUUCAAUUUACAUAGAAGCAUAGAUUCUUGCUGGCAUAUACAAAUGCGCCAUUUAAGGCAAUCAAAAAUGGUUCCACAUCUCAUCUGAUUUCCACAAUUGUUGCUGUAACGAUGGACUACUGAGGAGAGAGACAAUUUCUCUGGCACAUCUUCCCACAUUUUAGCAACAUGUUCAUGGAGAGCCAAUAUUCAGUAAUUACAGCCCAAUUCCUCACAAUUUCACAAUUCGCUAACAAUAUGCAUUUUCACAAUGUAAAGCUGAUUUUCCUUUAACCAAAUCAAACAUGAAAAGAUAGCUGCAUGCAAUGGGCAAUCUAGAUCAUUAGAAGAUUGAUGUAAAAUUAGAGGACACUGAGACUGGAAUAGAUUGCAAACUUCAGGGAGCUCAGAAAACUUGUAAACUCUACAUUUUGAGGAAAUAUGUUGUCGAUGCUUUUGCAACUCUAUGCAGUAACUUAACAAAUAAAGCCUUAAAGUAAC